Molecule: ribosomal RNA, 600 nt
Filed under: uncultured Alphaproteobacteria bacterium
Lineage: Bacteria; Pseudomonadati; Pseudomonadota; Alphaproteobacteria
Description: bacterial SSU rRNA
Rfam family: Bacterial small subunit ribosomal RNA
Source: RNAcentral
CAUGCAAGUCGAACGAAGUAGCAAUACUUAGUGGCAGACGGGUGAGUAACAUGUGGGUAUCUGCCCUUUGGCCUGGAAUAACACGAGGAAACUUGUGCUAAUACUGGAUAAGUCUUUACGGAGAAAGCUUUAUGCACCAUUGGAUGAGCCCGCACUUGAUUAGUUUGUUGGUGGGGUAAUGGCCUACCAAGACUGUGAUCAAUAGCUGAUUUGAGAGGAUGAUCAGCCACAUUGGGACUGAGACACGGCCCAAACUCCUACGGGAGGCAGCAGUGGGGAAUCUUGCACAAUGGAGGAAACUCUGAUGCAGCGAUGCCGCGUGAGUGAAGAAGGCCCUUGGGUUGUAAAGCUCUUUCGUCGGGGAAGAAAAUGACUGUACCCGAAUAAGAAGGUCCGGCUAACUUCGUGCCAGCAGCCGCGGUAAUACGAAGGGACCUAGCGUAGUUCGGAAUUACUGGGCUUAAAGAGUUCGUAGGUGGUUGAAAAAGUUGGUGGUGAAAUCCCAGAGCUUAACUCUGGAACUGCCAUCAAAACUUCUCAGCUAGAGUAUGAUAGAGGAAAGCAGAAUUUCUAGUGUAGAGGUGAAAUUCGUAGAUAUUA